Molecule: long non-coding RNA, 1394 nt
Organism: Neodiprion fabricii
Lineage: Eukaryota; Metazoa; Arthropoda; Insecta; Hymenoptera; Diprionidae
Exons: 4
Source: RefSeq, a predicted model, not a curated record
CGACAAACAUAGUCCUAACGACAACAGCGUUUGUGGUUCAAGAUUUCCGAUGUUAUCAGUGCGAAAUUAUCUAACAAGUUAGAAUCGGAUUUCGCAGACACUUGACGCUCGCCAAUACGUAAACUCCUUUUGAAAUCACUGUUGUGCGUUUCUAUUCAAUGAGUAUUUUGUUCGAUGAAACCAAUACAAAAAGAGGGCGUCCCUAGGGAGGACUAUGGGGCUGGUUACAGAUGCUUAUCGUCAGGCCAUCCUAUUCACGACUUUUUGGUUCAUACAGAUUUACACCAUUACACCGUAGGUCAUGCACCCAGAUAAUCGUGAAAGCAUCUUUUAUUUACGAAAUUAUCGUAGCGAACUCAAUAUUGCAUGAAAAAAUUCUCCCUCACUUUCUGUUCGUGUGUUUAUUUAAUAUAGUAAGAAAAAGGGUGAGUUUGCUCAGUCGGUAAAGAUAGGAGAGCUAAAUGCUCUCAGGCUAGCUGGAUGCUCCACGACAAUUUACCAUGCUUUCGUGGACAUCGGUGUUUCUACCAAUAUUUUUGUUUAUCGUCAUGAUUAACACACAACGUAAUUGAUAUAUCGUCAGCAUAGAAUUAACUAAUUGUAAAUUUUUUAGAAAAAAAAUGGUACUCACAAAACAAGAGUCUAACAAUAUGAAGUAAAUCGUAGUAGUAUAUAGUUCAUUUAAGCAGCCGGCUGGAGGCACGCAGCUGUUGAUUAGUUGUUUUCGAUUAACCUCACAAUACAUUUGGGUCCAGGAGGUCCAGGAGCAGGCACUGCGUCGGCUGCUGAUCUUUGUCAGGCGAGGUGCUAAAAUUGUGCACAACGAUGUUGACACCCUCAAAUAAACCCUGUGAAUGUUGAGUUACACAAGAUAAUUUUGUUCCGAACACAAGAAAAAUGCUUGAUCAAAACAUGGAAAAAAACAAACAGAUGUCACGAAUCCACGUAUCACAUAGCAGAAGGACUGGAGUUAACUUCAAAGAAUUUAAUCUUGAUAAUGCAUAGCAAAUUUUGCAAAUUUGUCAAAGAAAUAAGGAAGAAACGUUUUUGAAGAAGAGAUAAAGCAUCCGAGAGGAUAUUGGUAUUUAAAAAAUAAUACUGUUAGAGGAGGUGUCUGAGUCAAUACUUUUCAUUAAUUAUAUUCUGAUAUUGUGACACAUUGAGAUAUUUUCAAUUUAAUAUAUUUAUAAGUUACAAUUUUCGAUCUCAAAAGUAAAGAAAGUGGUUUAUACUGGAAUUAUAAACCAUAGCAUAUAGCAAUAUCACCUUUUAUUCAUCACACUGGCUUCCAUAAAUAUUUAAUUUUACAACCUUGCAUGAUUGAUUAUGAUCAACAAUAACACAAUUGAAUUGGCUAAUUGGGUAACAUAAAAUCUGCUUUAUAUAUAUAAUAA